RNAcentral lists this ribosomal RNA (1338 nucleotides) under uncultured bacterium. Its description in RNAcentral is "bacterial SSU rRNA". It matches the Rfam family "Bacterial small subunit ribosomal RNA", at positions 28 to 1387 of the family's 1533-position model. The record is from RNAcentral.
GACGAACGCUGGCGGCGCGCCUAACACAUGCAAGUCGAACGAGCGAGAGAGAGCUUGCUUUCUCGAGCGAGUGGCGAACGGGUGAGUAACGCGUGAGGAACCUGCCUCAAAGAGGGGGACAACAGUUGGAAACGACUGCUAAUACCGCAUAAGCCCACGGUGCCGCAUGGCACAGAGGGAAAAGGAGCAAUCCGCUUUAAGAUGGCCUCGCGUCCGAUUAGCUAGUUGGUGAGGUAACGGCCCACCAAGGCGACGAUCGGUAGCCGGACUGAGAGGUUGAACGGCCACAUUGGGACUGAGACACGGCCCAGACUCCUACGGGAGGCAGCAGUGGGGAAUAUUGCACAAUGGGGGAAACCCUGAUGCAGCGACGCCGCGUGGAGGAAGAAGGUCUUCGGAUUGUAAACUCCUGUUGUUGGGGAAGAUAAUGACGGUACCCAACAAGGAAGUGACGGCUAACUACGUGCCAGCAGCCGCGGUAAAACGUAGGUCACAAGCGUUGUCCGGAAUUACUGGGUGUAAAGGGAGCGCAGGCGGGAAGACAAGUUGGAAGUGAAAUCUAUGGGCUCAACCCAUAAACUGCUUUCAAAACUGUUUUUCUUGAGUAGUGCAGAGGUAGGCGGAAUUCCCGGUGUAGCGGUGGAAUGCGUAGAUAUCGGGAGGAACACCAGUGGCGAAGGCGGCCUACUGGGCACCAACUGACGCUGAGGCUCGAAAGUGUGGGUAGCAAACAAGAUUAGAUACCCUGGUAGUCCACACCGUAAACGAUGAUAAAUAGGUGUUGGAGGAUUGACCCCUUCAGUGCCGCAGUAACACAAUAAGUAUCCCACCUGGGGAGUCCGACCGCAAGGUUGAAACUCAAAGGAAUUGACGGGGGCCCGCACAAGCAGUGGAGUAUGUGGUUUAAAUUCGACGCAACGCGAAGAACCUUACCAAGUCUUGACAUCCCUUGACAGGCAUAGAAAUAUGUUUUCUCUUCGGAGCAAGGAGACAGGUGGUGCAUGGUUGUCGUCAGCUCGUGUCGUGAGAUGUUGGGUUAAGUCCCGCAACGAGCGCAACCCUUAUGGUCAGUUACUACGUAAGAGGACUCUGGCCAGACUGCCGUUGACAAAACGGAGGAAGGUGGGGAUGACGUCAAAUCAUCAUGCCCUUUAUGACUUGGGCUACACACGUACUACAAUGGCGUUAAACAAAGAGAAGCAAGACCGCGAGGUGGAGCAAAACUCAGAAACAACGUCCCAGUUCGGACUGCAGGCUGCAACUCGCCUGCACGAAGUCGGAAUUGCUAGUAAUCGUGGAUCAGCAUGCCACGGUGAAUACGUUCCCGGGCCUUGCACA